This 332-nucleotide ribosomal RNA is filed under the name uncultured eukaryote. RNAcentral describes it as "partial 18S ribosomal RNA". It matches the Rfam family "Eukaryotic small subunit ribosomal RNA", at positions 1470 to 1796 of the family's 1831-position model. The record is from RNAcentral.
CCCUUAGAUGUUCUGGGCCGCACGCGCGCUACACUGUUCGACGCAGCGAGUCUUAACCUUGACCGAAAGGUUUGGGUAAUCUUCAGCAAAGUCGAACGUGAUGGGGAUCGAUCAUUGCAAUUAUUGAUCGUGAACGAGGAAUUCCUAGUAAGUGCAAGUCAUCAGCUUGCGCUGAUUACGUCCCUGCCCUUUGUACACACCGCCCGUCGCUACUACCGAUUGAAUGGUUUAGUGAGAUCUCUGGAUUGACGCUGACUAGGGGGCGACCCUUGGCCAGACUGCUCGAGAAACUGCUCAAACUUGAUCAUUUAGAGGAAGUAAAAGUCGUAACA